CAAAAGCAAAGUGUUGCAAGAGCCUCACUAAGUCUGCCUGACACCUGCACAUACCAGCAAGGGAUGGUAUCUUUUACAAUUCAGACAUCAACAGCCAGCUUUAUAUUUCAUGAAGAUAAAUGAGAAUAUUCAUUUAAAAUGCUUUGAAAUUAUCAUCUCCUUGUCUGGGUGCAAGUCUCUACUCAGAGAAAAUUCAAGGUCUUCUGUUGCCCAGAUGCAAGUGACAAUAUGACAUGCAGGAGCCAUGGAGAACCAGGCGCCGCUUCUCCAUCUAGGUUCAUCCAUGACACCUGCGUUCCUGUGGGACAACACUCCAGAGGAAAACAGAAUACGGAGGAGGCUGCCUCUGCCAUGCAGAAUGGUUCACAAAGAAACCACCAAGUUUCCUGAGGAGAUUAACUACGUCUAGUGCCCCC
Molecule: long non-coding RNA, 416 nt
Organism: Mauremys reevesii (Reeves's turtle)
Lineage: Eukaryota; Metazoa; Chordata; Testudines; Geoemydidae
Exons: 4
Source: RefSeq, a predicted model, not a curated record